RNAcentral lists this ribosomal RNA (468 nucleotides) under uncultured bacterium. RNAcentral describes it as "partial 16S ribosomal RNA". It matches the Rfam family "Bacterial small subunit ribosomal RNA", at positions 28 to 507 of the family's 1533-position model. The record is from RNAcentral.
GACGAACGCUGGCGGCGUGCUUAACACAUGCAAGUCGAACGGAAAGGCCCUGCUUUUGUGGGGUGCUCGAGUGGCGAACGGGUGAGUAACACGUGAGUAACCUGCCCUUGACUUUGGGAUAACUUCAGGAAACUGGGGCUAAUACCGGAUAGGAGCUCCUGCUGCAUGGUGGGGGUUGGAAAGUUUCGGCGGUUGGGGAUGGACUCGCGGCUUAUCAGCUUGUUGGUGGGGUAGUGGCUUACCAAGGCUUUGACGGGUCGCCGGCCUGAGAGGGUGACCGGCCACAUUGGGACUGACGUACGGCCCGGACGCCUACGGCGGGCAGCAGUGGGGAAUACUGCACAAUGGGCCGGAUCCUGAUGCGGCAACGCCGCGGGCGGGAUGACGGCCUUCGGGUUGUAAACCGCUUCCGCCUGUGACGAAGCGUGAGUGACGGUAAUCUGUAAAGAAGCACCGGCUAACUACGUG